This 573-nucleotide long non-coding RNA is filed under the name Fukomys damarensis (Damara mole-rat). RNAcentral's name for it is "lncRNA (ENSFDAG00000032697.1)". The record is from RNAcentral. Lineage: Eukaryota; Metazoa; Chordata; Mammalia; Rodentia; Bathyergidae.
AUAAAUGUAAGAGAAAGAUUAAGCAGUCAUACAAUUUUGAUGUGUGUGAUUGUGCUGUUUUAUGACCCUAGGGUGAAUCGACUGGAAACUGGAGGCUUCUCCCAUGGUCACAGCUAUUUAGAAUGGCCAUGACGUGCAGACUGCAGGUCCUGAGGACCCCUCCUCACUCGUCGGCCCUGCCUGCCCCUGCUGUGAAGGAGUGGUGCCUUAGUAACGAUGCCCCCCAGGACGUGGACGCGUUCAUCCAGGGUUGCUGGCCACGAGACAUCUGUGCGGCAGAGCCUGGGAUGGAUGGUGGAUGCUCCCCGGGGCCCAGGACACCCUGCUCGGCCGCCCGUUGCUCCUGUACCUGGGUGAUGCCUUGGACAACGGAGGUGCUGAGCUGAAGUAAGAAGCCCCUUGGAUCCAGACGUCGUGGGAGGCCAUUGUGUGAGGACAGGGACCCCCAGGAGUCACUGCAGGAAGUGUCUUCCUUUGGUAACCGAUGAAAGAUAAUCACGGUCUUUUUUUCCAUAUUUUAAACAAUACACUAAAAAUGAAACAUCGAUGGUUUUAGCAGCAAAUUGGAGGCAC